This 998-nucleotide long non-coding RNA is filed under the name Pan troglodytes (chimpanzee). RNAcentral describes it as "long non-coding RNA NONPTRT009394". The record is from RNAcentral. Lineage: Eukaryota; Metazoa; Chordata; Mammalia; Primates; Hominidae.
CAGAGGCAGAGCCACAGAGGGGCUGCUCGUCCCCAAAUGUCUCUCCAGCCGCUCUGAAGCUGCUGCAGGCUGCUGUGCUGGUCCAUGGAGAAGGUGGAACACUGGACUAAAGAGACAGGCUGAGGAAGCCCUCAAGUCACCCCUGAUGGAGGCCAGACCUUGAAUGUUACAAUCCCUCUGCUUAUCGACCCUUAAUAAAAAUCUGAGCAGGUCUUCUCUGCAGGACACAGGAGGCUUUCUGGAAAAAAAAACAUGGAAAAAAAGUCUGGAAGUGCUCGACCAAGAGAUUGCGAGAUGGAAGCAGAGAGUACAGGAAAGGAAGGAGGAGAAAGAAAGGCUGGAAACCUUUGAAUGUACAAAAAAAACAGGUCAUGAAAGAUACCACGAGCCAACUAAAAUCUCUGGCUGAAAAUGUGCUGGACACCAUGCAGUUGGAAGAUUUCACUAGGGACCGCAGUGAUGAGGGGAACUUGGAAGCAGAGCUAAAGAGGAAAGCAGAAAAUGAAGAAACCACCCCCCUUAAAAAUUAAGUAAAUUUUUUUUAAGUUAUGUGCAUACAUUCUGUAUAUACAGAAAAGAUAUCUAAAUUGUAUGCACGCAGAAGGAGCAUUGCCCCCACAAGGAACAGUUCAUCCUAAAUGGUGCAGAUGAAGAGACUUUGACAAAGGAAGUUUCCUGAGCUGUGGGCAGGGAUGAGAGCUCAGACGAAUGAUGGGAAACCUCCCAGAUGCCAAGGUUUCCCACCCCCGGGUUUCAAGGGAGGAGAGAGGAAGUGAUGUCAUCUGAGCCCAGUGAGGCCCUGUCAAGGGACUAGGGAAAACUGUCCCCACUUUUUGCUCCCAUCCUCUCAUUGACUGCAGGUGCACAGGCAGCUGCCUGAAAGAGGGCCUGCGAAGUGCAAGCCAGAGGAGUUGGCCUCCACGGCACAGAGCAGGCAGAAAACAAAUUUGGAGAAUGACCAGCACUCUUGGGUUUAUUUGACUGAAAGUGCUUGUUUU